AUAGGAACACAAUACACAAGCAUGAAUCAUUCGUUUGCACACCAAGUACUUCGCUUUUCAUAACACAAUUCACAUGUACAUUUACACAAUUCACAACCAACAUAUAGAGCAUACUAGACAAAGCUACACACUUCAUGAUACACAUGGCAUUGAAUAUAUCGGAUUAGUCUACUAGUUGAGCCUCUUAACAAAGGUAAACACUUCCUAUCAGUAGUCUGAAAGGACUCCAGCGUCAGACCGCUCGGUGGCCGUCCGUUCCUUCCAAAUCUAAUGCUCAAGAUUUUCCUCGUAUUGCAGAAAAAAAUCGGGAAAAACCACGAGCAUAAUCCCCUCCCCCUAAUCCCUGGCGACCCAUCUCCCAUAGUCAACCGCACCGCUCGAGCUCUGCCUCCGCCUCGCCACCAGCUCCGCUCGCGAGAUCCACUGCCCCGCCGCCCUCGCGUCGAUACUUCACCGGCCAGCUCCGCCCACCUCCCACCGCGACCUCUCCCGCCAGCUUCGAUCCGCCAAGUGCCUUCACCUCACCGGCCAGCUCGAUCCGCCCUGUACCUCCAUCUCACCGGCCAGCUUCUGCCCUCACGUUCCUCCUUCGAUCCUCGCCGUCGAGCAUCAGGGCUGCCCCGUAAUCCUCUCCACCGAUGCGAAUCCCGGGAGACGGUGCACCAUCCUGGCAUUAGCAGAUCGAGCACCCCAUCCUCAUCUAUGAUUGGUGCUUCGCCAGGCCCCUCCAUCGUUUGAAUCGGCUGCACUCGGGGGUUCACCGGCUGGCCGUAGAAGAGGGGCAUUGGAUUGCAAAAAUUCCGCCAUAUUUGGAGCGCCCCGUCUCCAAAUCGAAGGGUGGAUCACCGGCCAUGAACAGUGGAAAAACCUUUGGACCACCUGAACGUGGAAGGAUGCGGGACAAUUGUUGCUGGUGUUUGCAUUGUACUGAGACGGCAGAAAAUCUAACCUUAUGAUCCAUUACUGUUGUUCGAAUCAACUUUCUUGGAAGUAAAUCGUAGCAAGUUUUAGUUUUUUAUUA
Long non-coding RNA from Aegilops tauschii subsp. strangulata, 1021 nucleotides. RefSeq lists it as uncharacterized. The record is from RefSeq and is a predicted model, not a curated record. Lineage: Eukaryota; Viridiplantae; Streptophyta; Magnoliopsida; Poales; Poaceae.